AUACGAACUGUGCAAACGUUAUUCGGAAUCACUGGGCUUAAAGGGUGCGUAGGCGGGUUUGAAGGUCUGAUGUGAAAGCCCACGGCUCAACCGUGGAAUUGCGUUGGAAACCACAAGCCUUGAGGGAGUCAGAGGUGAGCGGAACUAAUGGUGGAGCGGUGAGAUGCGUUGAUAUCAUUAGGAACACCGGUGGCGAAAGCGGCUCACUGGGACUCUUCUGACGCUGAGGCACGAAAGCUAGGGGAGCGAACGGGAUUAGAAACCCUAGUAGUCC
Molecule: ribosomal RNA, 274 nt
Filed under: uncultured bacterium
Lineage: Bacteria
Description: partial 16S ribosomal RNA
Rfam family: Bacterial small subunit ribosomal RNA
Source: RNAcentral